This 2001-nucleotide unclassified non-coding RNA is filed under the name Hevea brasiliensis (rubber tree). The record is from RNAcentral. Lineage: Eukaryota; Viridiplantae; Streptophyta; Magnoliopsida; Malpighiales; Euphorbiaceae.
CGAGACUCACAUAUUUAAGUAAUUUUUGGCCCCAACUCAAAGAGGAAGAUUUCACAGUGCACAAAUCUAUAUAGAUUGUACUAACAUUAAUUAAUUUGCUUUUGAGGGAGACAACAAAUGUAGAUUCACAAAUACAAAAUUAACGCGUUAUUGACAAUACAUUGCGGAUGGAAUUAAUCACUAUUCCCAAUAUCAACACAAUACAAUUACAAAUAUGAACAAACUUCCUUCAUGAAGUAAUGCAAACUGAACGUGUGUUCUCAAAUGACUGGACAGAUGUUGGAAAAUAUUCAAUAAAAGAAUUUGAAGUGUCAAUUAUCACAGACCAAGCAAGAAAACAACUUGUGAAUGAAAGAUUUGGGUGUUGUGCUUGUAGAUGACUUGGCUAAAACAAUGAUCUCUGAUUCAUCUGCUCCACUUUCCCUGGCUUUCUCACAUUCUUCACAGAAUUUCUUGAAGCCAUCCUCAACAUACUUUACAGCUUGUAAAACUGUCAUGCCCUCCACAAGUUUGUGAGGGUAAAUGUCCUUUUUAUGAUCUCCAUUCAAUGCUGCUGCCAUUUGCACUAGUUCUUCUUGGAAUUCACUAAGUUUUGCCUCUUCUUUUGCAUCAGCUUCUCGCAGUUUCACAGGUUCUGUCAAUGUAACUGGACAAUCUGUUCUUGGGCUACUUCGAGUCAAAACACCCUCAAAAGUGCCAGCCCAAGCAUCUCUCUUGGUCAGAAACUCUUUUAAGUUGAAAAGCUUUUUAACUGUUGCUGCGAUUGAGGAAUGCUCAUAUUGUGAUGUAGGUUCUGGUCCUGAAGGUCCGUGCAGUACUGUUCCAGGCUCAAUCCAGGGAGAGAUUAAAAGAGCUGGAAUCCUGACGCCAAGUCGAUCAAACUUGAAGAAAUAAGGGGCGGGACCAACAAUAUCAUCAGGACUAGGGACACCAGUUACAGGAGUUGGAACAUGAUCAUAGAAACCACCAUGUUCAUCAUAUAUGAUUAUGAAGAGCAUUUCGUUCCACUGGGGGCUAGCUCUCAGUGCUUCAUAGACUUCUUUCACAAAUUUUUGGCCUUCGGAGACAUCAUGUGAUGGGUGGUCAUCGUUUGCCGGUAUGCUUAAAAGGUCGAAAAACCUUUGUUCAACCACCACAUAGUUUGGUAGCUUCCCUUCCUCACAGUGCUUCUUAAAGUGCAGAUCAAACUGGUGGAAAUGCUUUAAGUACUUCAACUUUCUAAGGUUCCUGUAGAAAAGAGUAGGCGGAGGGUAUUGAUAAUAAAUCCCAAAGGUAAAACCAGACUCAUCCAUCGACUCAAAUAUGGUCUUCUGCGCGUACCCUUCUACCAGCAACUUUGUGUCAUUACUCGUUGCACCAUGGGAUGUCGCUGAAUGCACAUACAGCCUAUUCGGCUGCGUCGACGCCGGAACUGAAGCAAACCACCUAUCACAUAUCGCGAAAUUCAUCGCCAGCUCCUUAUAAACCGGCACGGCCUCCGGUUUAAACCCGUUCAUUACUGUCUCCCCCAUGCCCGUCUGGAUGCGCUCUGCAUUCUGAGCAAAGCCAUUCAUUUUCGGUGUCAGAGCGUUCUCGCUAAGUGCGGCUUCUGUCCAUUCAACGCCAAAAACCUGCUCGUAAAUGGCUUGGAUGGAGUGGCCAGGGUCUGGGUCAACGUAUGCAGCGUUGUCGCCGUAGAAGAUGACGGAGGAGUUGAGGUCAGAGGUGGAGAUGUGGUUGGAUUCGGAUCCUGUGACGCCUUCAAUUUCUGGGUUGAGGGUCUUUAGCCAGCCGAGCAUGUGAUCGAAUGAACGGUUUUCUUGGACCAGAACCACCACCGUUUUGAUGGGGUAUUGGUGUGGGGUGGAAGAGGAGCUUUCUGCAACCAUUUUGGGCGGUUGGGUUUGGGUGUUGGUUUGGUUGGAAGGUGAGUGGUGGUUUUGUUUGAUGUGCUGCUAAUUUAUGUAGUUUUAUAUACGCAGAGUUUUGAUUGAAGAAGAAAGUCCUAAAGACAGAUAUUCA